RNAcentral lists this unclassified non-coding RNA (486 nucleotides) under Hevea brasiliensis (rubber tree). The record is from RNAcentral. Lineage: Eukaryota; Viridiplantae; Streptophyta; Magnoliopsida; Malpighiales; Euphorbiaceae.
UGAGAAUUGCUUCCUUUUUAAGAGGAUGUCACUUUCCUUUAAAUGACUUACACCAUGCUACAUUUGAGAUAGGGAUAAGGAGGGGAUGAGAAAAGAUAACUUGUUAUCCUUGGCUUUUUUGGUUAACUUAGAAAAGAUGGGAGUGGAAAAGAGGAAGGAAUGUCAUUAUUUUGUUUGGAUGGAGAACGCAGAGGAAGGGAAGGAAGCAAGUUAUGAUUUUAAAAGCACAGUGGCAUCCUUUUGAUGCUGCCAAUUUCUUUGAAAGUCUGUCAUGCAACAUAUCUUUUUAUGUUUUACUAAUAUGAUGUGAAUAUAUGUAGUCUGGCUUUCCAAAAUCUUUGAGCAACUAGGAGAGUUAAAAUUUUGGCACGUCAUGGCUCCAUAAUUUAACGAUCUCCUAGCUUUACAAUGUCUUCACUGUCAAGAGUCUAAAAGAAUUUCCAUGCACUUCUCAUCACGCGGACUGUUUCCCAACUGUACGUGCUC